RNAcentral lists this ribosomal RNA (253 nucleotides) under uncultured bacterium. RNAcentral's name for it is "partial 16S ribosomal RNA". It matches the Rfam family "Bacterial small subunit ribosomal RNA", at positions 524 to 776 of the family's 1533-position model. The record is from RNAcentral.
UACAGAGGGGGCAAGCGUUGUUCGGAAUUACUGGGUGUAAAGGGCGCGUAGGCGGCCUGCUAAGUCGAACGUGAAAUCCCUGGGCUCAACCCAGGAACUGCGUCCGAUACUGGUUGGCUUGAAUCCGGGAGAGGGAUGUGGAAUUCCAGGUGUAGCGGUGAAAUGCGCAGAUAUCAGGAAGAACACCAAUGGCGAAAGCAGCUCUCUGGGACGGUACUGACGCUGAGACGCGAAAGCGUGGGGAGCGAACAGG